CUACGGGUUGCACCAGUGAGGAAUAUUGCACAAUGGGGGGAACCCUAAUGCAGCAACGCCGCGUGGAGGAUGACGCAUUUCGGUUUGUAAACUCCUUUUAUAUGUCAAGAAAAUGACGGUAGCAUAUGAAUAAGCACCGGCUAACUCCGUGCCAGCAGCCGCGGUAAUACGGAGGGUGCAAGCGUUACUCGGAAUCACUGGGCGUAAAGGACGCGUAGGCGGGUUGGAAAGUCAGGUGUGAAAUCCUACAGCUUAACUGUAGAACUGCACUUGAAACUUCUAAUCUAGAGUAUGGGAGGGGGAGAUGGAAUUAGUGGUGUAGGGGUAAAAUCCGUAGAUAUCACUAGGAAUACCUAAAGCGAAGGCGAUCUCCUGGAACAUUACUGACGCUAAGGCGUGAAAGCGUGGGGAGCAAACAGGAUUAGAUACCCCCGUAGUC
This 439-nucleotide ribosomal RNA is filed under the name uncultured bacterium. Its description in RNAcentral is "partial 16S ribosomal RNA". It matches the Rfam family "Bacterial small subunit ribosomal RNA", at positions 339 to 795 of the family's 1533-position model. The record is from RNAcentral.